This 672-nucleotide ribosomal RNA is filed under the name uncultured Bacteroidales bacterium. Its description in RNAcentral is "bacterial SSU rRNA". It matches the Rfam family "Bacterial small subunit ribosomal RNA", at positions 71 to 737 of the family's 1533-position model. The record is from RNAcentral. Lineage: Bacteria; Pseudomonadati; Bacteroidota; Bacteroidia; Bacteroidales.
UCAGUUUGCUUGCAAACUGGAGAUGGCGACCGGCGCACGGGUGAGUAACACGUAUCCAACCUGCCGAUAACUCGGGGAUAGCCUUUCGAAAGAAAGAUUAAUACCCGAUGGUAUAAUCAGACCGCAUGGUCUUGUUAUUAAAGAAUUUCGGUUAUCGAUGGGGAUGCGUUCCAUUAGGCAGUUGGUGAGGUAACGGCUCACCAAACCUUCGAUGGAUAGGGGUUCUGAGAGGAAGGUCCCCCACAUUGGAACUGAGACACGGUCCAAACUCCUACGGGAGGCAGCAGUGAGGAAUAUUGGUCAAUGGGCGCAGGCCUGAACCAGCCAAGUAGCGUGAAGGAUGACUGCCCUAUGGGUUGUAAACUUCUUUUAUAUGGGAAUAAAGUUUUCCACGUGUGGAAUUUUGUAUGUACCAUAUGAAUAAGGAUCGGCUAACUCCGUGCCAGCAGCCGCGGUAAUACGGAGGAUCCGAGCGUUAUCCGGAUUUAUUGGGUUUAAAGGGAGCGUAGGUGGACAGUUAAGUCAGUUGUGAAAGUUUGCGGCUCAACCGUAAAAUUGCAGUUGAUACUGGCUGUCUUGAGUACAGUAGAGGUGGGCGGAAUUCGUGGUGUAGCGGUGAAAUGCUUAGAUAUCACGAAGAACUCCGAUUGCGAAGGCAGCUCACUGGACUGC